This 39534-nucleotide long non-coding RNA is filed under the name Elaeis guineensis (African oil palm). RNAcentral's name for it is "long non-coding RNA (EGUI_LNC019444)". The record is from RNAcentral. Lineage: Eukaryota; Viridiplantae; Streptophyta; Magnoliopsida; Arecales; Arecaceae.
AGUCGAGGCCAAGUUAUGCUAGACUCAGCUUGGACUGGGCUCGUUUGUAGGCAGAGUCGUGUCAGGUAUGCUUCAAGGUUUCCUAUGUCCUAACUUGAGUCCACCUGAACUUGACUUAAGCCAAUGCUAGUUCUAUGUCAGGCUUCUAGGCCCUUCUCCUCCAAAUCUUCUAUAGCUAAUGGAAACCUUGGGAGGAGGGGUCAAAUGAGAUUAUGAUUGCUAAUGAUGAGAGGCUGUCGAGGUGAGGGAUGGAGUUGGAGAGAUGACAUGAAAAAAGAAAGCACAAUUGCUGGGACUCAAUUGUAAGAAAAAAUGAAUGAUCAUCUUUACAUUCUUGAUAAGUGAAUAGUGGAAAAGGUAAGAACAUGAGAAGCGAGGAAGCUAAUUCAUAUACAAUCAAAUAAAAUAUUAGAAUUACAAGAAUGCCAAUGUACAUUGAUACAUUUUCUUCACCACUAUAUUAUGCUUGAAGCAAGGUUUCCUGUACCGGUACCGAUGGUCGGAUCGGCCGGCCGGUGGUACGAUACGGCAUGCCUCCGUUCCGUUCCGAACCGAGGCGAACCGACGAAGGAAACCGGAAAAGAAAAAGAGAGAAAGAGAGAGAAAUAGAGAGAGAGAGGGAGGAAGGAAGAAAAAGAAGGAAGGGGAUCCGUCGGAGGGGCCGCCAGAGGCCCUCCGACGGACAGCCGUGGCCGUCGGGCGGCAGAACGGCCUACCCGCGGNNNNNNNNNNNNNNNNNNNNNNNNNNNNNNNNNNNNNNNNNNNNNNNNNNNNNNNNNNNNNNNNNNNNNNNNNNNNNNNNNNNNNNNNNNNNNNNNNNNNNNNNNNNNNNNNNNNNNNNNNNNNNNNNNNNNNNNNNNNNNNNNNNNNNNNNNNNNNNNNNNNNNNNNNNNNNNNNNNNNNNNNNNNNNNNNNNNNNNNNNNNNNNNNNNNNNNNNNNNNNNNNNNNNNNNNNNNNNNNNNNNNNNNNNNNNNNNNNNNNNNNNNNNNNNNNNNNNNNNNNNNNNNNNNNNNNNNNNNNNNNNNNNNNNNNNNNNNNNNNNNNNNNNNNNNNNNNNNNNNNNNNNNNNNNNNNNNNNNNNNNNNNNNNNNNNNNNNNNNNNNNNNNNNNNNNNNNNNNNNNNNNNNNNNNNNNNNNNNNNNNNNNNNNNNNNNNNNNNNNNNNNNNNNNNNNNNNNNNNNNNNNNNNNNNNNNNNNNNNNNNNNNNNNNNNNNNNNNNNNNNNNNNNNNNNNNNNNNNNNNNNNNNNNNNNNNNNNNNNNUCUCUCUCUCUAUUUCUCUCUCUUCCUCUUCUUUUUCUUCCCGGCAACGGCAUGUACCGUUUUGCAUGCUGGAACCGUCUCGGUUUCCCGCCGGGAUGGUUCGGCACGCCCCGUACCGGGCGGUUCGGCCUGGUAUGGCAAACCCUGGCUUGAAGUUUCACACCAAUUUUAAGUUCCUAUAUACUUUAUCCAAAAUUUUGAAAGGAUAUAAUCCAAAGGUGAAUGUUUUUAUUUUUGAGACUGAAACUAAGAAUUCUUCUCCAAUGAGUUCUGAGAGACUUUUUUGUGUGAAAGAAUAAAGUCGGGUUAGAGUGGUAGAGGAGUUUGAAUGGAGGGAGAGUGAUACAAGUUUAAAAUCAUAGUUCAAAGCAGGGGAAUCCAAUGAUAUCAAGAGUGCACAUGUGGUUAUUGAUGUGGUUUCUAAAGAGAGAGAAACAGGAUACAAGUAAAACCAGACACCCAAAAGAGUAAUGGUUUUGACAUGAUCAUGGUGGGACAAAGUUAAUGGAUAGAGGGAGGCGAAGGACAGCUAUUCAGGAUCCAUUUCGUGGUUUAUGUGUAGGAGUUCUACUAAACUUAACAUAAAAACACAAAUAUAUGGUGCAGGUCUGUAUCAUCUGUGUUGGAAGCCGUUUAUUGUUCAUAAGCAUUAGUGAGGUAUUCUAAAUUUUGGCCAUUUUGACUAAGGUUUACAUCAUGCUUUUAUGAUUAGAUGUAGAUAUAUCAUUUAUGGAAAGCCUUACCAAGUUUUAGAAGAAUCCUUUUUAACCUUUUAAUGCAGAAUCAUUAUUAGUAUUGUUAAUUGUUGAGAUCUGUAUUUUGUAUUCUUAGUCUUGUUACAUUCUUUAUUGAGUUAAUAAAUCAUAGUAGAAGAUUCCUUUUCUUAAAUUUUUUUUAUAUUGGAAGAAAUGUUAAGUGUGUAUUCUGUUAUCCUAUGCGAUACUCCUUGUUGUAUAUUGGACUGGAAAGCCCAUGUUUGAUAAAAGCAGAUUACUUCUUUUGAUUCCUGCUUGAUGUACAUUCCAUGCUGAUCAUAAGCUGAUACUGUAGUUCAGUAGGCUAAAUUAGAGACCUGCAUUUGGAGUCAAUGAAUUUUUUCCACUUUUUGGAUAAUCUAUUAUUUUAACGAGUGCAUUGUUAAUUUUUGGCCUUUCAAUUGAUUUAUGUAUUGAUUGUUUGGGCUGCUUGCCUGAUUGAUUCUUUUAACCACUAUGUGCUUUAAUUAGGUUAGUGAAGAAGUGGAACGUGCAUUAGCAAAGCUGGGUCCUGCUAGGCUUGGGGGAAGGUGCAAGAUCAUGACAUUCACCAUUCAAAUGACUAACAUUUUGGCCAAUUACUUGCUUCAGUCUCUCUGAUAUGUGGUUAACAUGAACUUGCUUUUUUACAUGUUAUUUUCUAGACCAUACUAAUUUGAAAUUCAUGUUGUUAUGGCUCUUGGCUGAUUUUGACUGUUCUUAGUUGGUUUUGUUGCUUUAUCACAAUUUAAAAAUGCCCAAGGACGAUGUAUGUAUUCAUGGUUUUGCUUAUACAAUUAUGUUAGUGAUCGCAUGUUUGGGUGGCUCUCAAGAGUCUUAAUUUGAUGUAAAAUCUGGCUAUGUAUUACUGAUUUUUAUUGAUCUGCUAACAAUCUACUGCAAGCAACAUAAUUGAUGACCCUACAUUAAGGAAGCAUAUAGACCUGGGUAUCAGCUGAGCCUGGUCACAAGUUAGCAUCAGGAAGCUAUAGGCUGGCCUAGGCUUGACUUGGGAACUUGAGAUGGAUUUAAUCAGCUCCAGCUUGACCCAAUUGUUAAAUUUAAGGCUGGAGACAAACCUGGCUCAGCCCAAUCCAAGCAGAAUCCCAAAGACACUUGAUCCUGUUCCACCUUUUUUUUAUUGGUGGGGUUAUUGAUGUUUGUGGGUUUUUUUUUUUUUUGUUUUGCUUUUUUGGGGGGGGGGGGGGGUGUUAUUGUGGGGUUGGUUGGCUAGAUUCUUGGGUAAAUAAUUUGGGUACAUGUUGUUAGAGAUGAUGACAUGGGCUGGAUUCGGAUUCUUUGCAUCUACUAGACCAUAGACUUGCGGAUUGGACAUUGAAGCACCAUAGGCCCCAUUGGGUGAGGUUGAAGGCUAAUGCCAACCCAGCCACCCCCCACCUCCUAAAAAGGAAAAAAAAAUCUGAAGCUAAAUUUAGGUUGGUUCAAGUUAGUGUGGAUGAGCUGUGUUGGCUUGGAUUAAUUGGAUUAAGUUUCAUUAUAUAGGUAUUUUAAGAUUGACAGGAGGUUUCAGAAAUUUUUGCUAGGUUAAUUUUGGGUUGGUGGGGAUCUCACUUGAUUCUACUUAUGCAAUUUUAUAUCUCAAUAGGGCUAUACAUAGAUGUAUGAAACAUAAGCCAUAUUCUAUGCGAAACAUUAAUAUAUACUUGUUUAUUCAUUGAGUUAGUUCAGAUUGGGCUGUCUUAUGGUUGGGUUGGGGUAGGGUUCAGGUUGGCGUUGAUGUCAACCUAGCUUAACCCAACUUGGGUUGAGUUGGGAUUUUGGAGCCCAAUGCCAAUCCAACACAACAAGCAUGUCGGGUUGUUCAGGUUCAGGUUGAACCAACCCAAGUUGCACCCUGUCUGAGCUCAGCCUGAAACUCAAUCAUGACUGAUGAUCUGGGGCUGGCCAACUGGUGAGCCUGAAAUUCAUACCCUGCCUUGCCUAAUUUUUAGGAUGGUUUGUGUGGGUUGGACUGGCAGGUAAGUCUGUAGAUGUCCAGGUUUAGAAGUCUGUACAUGCUUAUAUUUUUAACAAGUAAUUUCCCAAAACUUGGAGCCUGGUGCCUUUAGUGAAUCAACCUUGAAACGUGAUUCUUAUCUGCUCUUAGAACAUGGUUGCUUUUAGUAGAUUGCUAGAGUGAAACAUGUUCUAGUUAAAAGUUUUGCCCUUUAGACCUCGGUAUUGCUAUAAAACAGUGCCUAUAUUCUUGGGUGCAGCUCCCAAUCGUUAUUUCUACUAAUUUUUCUUACUUUACACUUCUUCACACAUCAUUCUAUGUUAUUGUUUCAUUAUAACAACCAUCCUUUACUAGCAAUUUGAUUAUAAUCCAUUAUAUGUCAUUUUGUUACCUUUGUUUAUUUAUCUAUCACUUAAGAUAUGAUGCUUAAAAAUGUUUAUGCUAAUUUCUAGUACCAAAGGAACCAUAGAAGCCCCACAAAUCAAUAAAGCUAGGACCUUUAAAGAUUCUGAAACCUAUAUUUUUCAUAAACUUUAUGCCUUUUUCUUGCUAAAGACCACCUUGUUUCAGUUACCAUCAUUAUUAGAGUUUUGUAAUAAAAGUUAAUGUUGAUUCCUGCACUGAACAGCUCAUGCUGCAAUUAUAAUUUUAGUUUGUAUUCACUUGUAUUUUCCACGUGCAAAAUUACUGUUGAAGUAGUCAUAUGCAAUCCUUCUAAAUGUCUGCUGACAAAGUGCCAAAGAUCUGCAUCUCGCUUAUAUUUGCAAAUGUGUUCUACUUUAAGCUUAGUAACUGUCAGAUGGAGUGGAAAUUAGAGUUGGGCUUAAAAACAUAUGAAGACUGUGCUUAUUGCCAUUGGGAAGAACUGGUGAAAAGGAAUUUCAUGAUACCAUUAGUAUGAUUAAAAAUGAUAAGAGGAACGACAGACAGAGGAUACUUGUAUUCUAGGGGAUAAGUGAAAUUUCACUGCAUGAUAUCUUUGUUCAAUAUUUGGGUUGGAUGGUACCUACAAUCACCAUUCUUUACUCUAAGCCUCUAUGUAUGUGCAAUUGCAUGUGGAUUUGUGUAUUGGUCUGUGACAUACAUAUAUUAAGAAGGUAAGUACAAGAGAUAUUACAUCAUGAUCAUGGCCUUUUAUGAACAUGUGUCUGUUUGUGUGCACAUCCAUGAAAAGGUUAAUUGUAGAAGAUAUUAUGCCAUGAACAUUGCUUUCUUGUCAAGUAUGCAUUGUAUCUAGUUGAUAACCUUGUGGAACAUGGUUCUUCGGUUGUGUGUAUAACAUAACCUUUUGGUUUAGCUUUCAUUUCCUGCCACUGUAGUUUCCAUUUCUCCUACAUCAUAAAAGGAGAAAGGGGAGAAUUUGCCUCAUGUUACAAAAAUGAAAUUUUUGGAUACAUUUUUGUAUCCGUUAUUUUCAUGGUGACUGCAUAUGUGGAUUGGUUUUUCUACUUUGAUAAUUAUGAGAAUAGGAGUUUUAUUUAUACUCUAUUCCUUAGCGCAGCAUCAUUCAGUCAGACAGUCCACCAAUACAGGAUCAUAGCCUGCUACUUGAGGCCGGUAGCAGUUCCACUAAUGUGAUACAUUUACAGUACACCAAAGUGAAGUAUUUUCUUCAUCAUUAUUUUUUUCAUUUAAUAAUCUUGGGUCAACUUAAUUCCUGUAAUUUAUUACACUAUUCUCACCUCAUGCUAUAAUCACUGGUUAUUAACUAUCCUAUUUUGGUUUUCUAAUUUCAUCACAUAUAUAUGUAAAAAAUAUUUACCUUAUAGAAAUUUUAUCUGUGAGGAUUAUUCUAAUUCUUUAUGAAAUGCAGAUCUUCACCCAAGCGUAUAGAAGGGCCUGAUGGAAGAAACCUGCAGCUACAUUUUAGAUCAAGUUUGUCUCUACCACUUUUUACGGGAGCAAGAGUUGAAGGAGAGCAGGGAGCCGCAAUUCAUGUGGUGUUGAUUGACACAAAUACUGGCCUUGUUGUAACAUCAGGGCCUGAGUCAUCAGCAAAACUGGAUGUGGUUGUGCUUGAAGGUGAUUUUAACAAUGAAGAUGAUGAUAACUGGACUGAAGAAGAAUUUGAAAAUUACGUAGUCAAAGAGCGUGAAGGAAAGAGACCACUUUUGACUGGUGACCUCCAGGUUACUUUGAAAGAAGGUGUGGGGACUCUUGGGGAGCUUAUCUUUACAGAUAAUUCUAGCUGGAUACGAAGUAGAAAAUUCAGGCUUGGUCUGAAGAUUGCAUCAGGCUUCUGUGAAGGUAUUCGUAUUCGUGAGGCAAAAACAGAAGCUUUUACUGUUAAGGAUCAUCGAGGGGAAUGUAGGUUUACCACAAACCAUUGCAAUUUAGUAUCUUUUCUCUGUACAUAUAUUGGAAUUCCAGUUUAAAAUGUCAUUACUUUCCAUUCUUUACAGUAUACAAGAAACACUACCCACCUGCCCUAAAAGAUGAGGUUUGGAGAUUGGAAAAGAUUGGAAAAGAUGGGGCAUUCCACAAAAAAUUAAAUAAGAAUGGAAUCUUGACAGUCGAAGAUUUUCUCCGGCUUGUUGUAAGGGAUCCACAAAGAUUGCGGAAUGUAAGAUUUCGUACAUGGGCUGUUGAAAUAGAAUCUUACUUUGUUAUUGUUUGUUGUUUUAAUGAUUUUUUUUUCUACAACUGUAGAUACUUGGAAGUGGCAUGUCAAAUAAGAUGUGGGAUAGCCUCGUGGAGCAUGCUAAGACUUGUCUCUUGAGUGGAAAGUAUUAUAUAUACUAUGAUGAUGAAACAAGGAAUGUCGGUGCAAUCUUCAAUAACAUUUAUGAAUUUAGUGGCCUGAUAGCUGGAGGGCAGUUCUAUUCAGCUGAAUGUCUGGCUGACAGUCAGAAGGUUGGUUUUAUUUGCAUACUUAUUGUUUUUUCCAGAUCCUGAUGGUAAUUUUUAUGGAUUAUCUAUAAUACAUUUUCAUGAGCUAAGGCUUUUUAACAUGGAAAUGUAAUCUAUAUGACCUCUCAGCUGGGCUGAUGUAUAGGCUAUGAUGUACCACUGAAACACUAAAAACACGUGUGCAAUGAAUGAAGCAUAUGAUAAUGUCACACCCAUGUGCCAAAAAACAAAGGGUAACUAUUUGCUUACAUUAUAUCAGUUGUGUCCUGUGCUUGUAAAAUUGUAAUAUUUCACUUUUCAAAGUAAGUCCUCUAUUUGCUUAAGAUUUAGUAAAAUUGUUAUUGCUAGCAAGAUUUAAAAUCUAGUGGGAUGGGGCUGUCCUUGUUUUCUUAUGAAACAGGAUGUGCUGCCAUCCUGCCGGUCCCAAAACUUGGGACAGAAGAUGUCACAAGAUGUGCUGAUCGGGAUGUUGGGAUGAUGGCAGGACGGUUUUGUUUCUGACAUGUUGGAUGGUACCCCAUCCCGGUGUCUCACGGGACGUCCUGUUGGGAUUUGAAUCUUAUUAGCCCUAGCAUAUUGCUACUUAGCAGAGUUACAAGAUUCUUCAUAGAUUUUAUUAGUAAGGCAGUGGAGCUAGAAGCAUCAACAUUAUAUUAGAGUUACAGGCAUUAACAUGGUUGAGUGGCUAUUGGAUAACUAUGUCCUCAAACAUGAAUAUACUUUAUAGUGUCGGCUGCUGUGUGCUCAGUAAAAUUCUUUAUCCAGCCCAUUUAUGAGAAAAAGCCUAUCCAGUUAAGCUGUUUUUUUGGGUUAAGUGUAGUAGAUCCUGCUAUCCAAAUGAUAGAUACAAAAAAAAUAAUGCUGAGAACAGUGGUAAAUGCUCUAUACUACCUUGCAGGUCUUUGCAGAUGCAUUGGUUAAAAAGGCGUAUGAUAAUUGGAUGCACGUUAUAGAAUAUGAUGGCGAGGCCCUUUUGAACUUCAGGCAGAGCAAGAAAACUGCUACGCGAAAUGAACAUCCAUCAGCUUCAAAAAACUGUCCUGCUUCAUAUGAUCAGCAAGCUUGUCAGCAGCAUAUGUCAACUACAGUUCCAGGAGAGCAUCCUGCAGUGGAUAGAGGAGUGGUUGCUGGAGGUAAUGAUUCUUUUUUUUUUUUACUUAUAAAUCCAACAAUUAGGUGAAUUGCUUAGCUCAUCUUUUUACGUAGGCUGGGAGUGACUUCCUAAUUCCUCAGAAUAGCCCCUUGUCUGUGCAGUAACCAUGAAAUGAUUAUUGUUUGAAUUGUAAUUUCAGCUGAUAAAAUGUUUUGAUUGAAAAAUGAAACUUAAUGCAUACUUCUGCGUGUGCUUCACUAAUAAAUGUAAUGGAGAACAUUUUUCUUUGGAUGUUCCAAAACGUAAAUUAAACUGACCCACUCUGCAGAAUUAGAACGCUGCAUGUUACUCCAAAGUUCAGUUUGCUGACUAUCAUAUAUGUUGUCCAGGAAAUGCAGCAUCUGCUGGGUACAAUGAGAACCAAGUGAACAGAUACUCUGCUCAUCCCCAACAUGUGGAUUCAAGUACCCAUAUGCAGUAUGAAAGCAAUUCAUUUGCCCCACAAAGUCAGUUCAAUGGAUCUUCUCAGCAAAUGCAAAUUACAAGAAAUGAUAGCACUGGGCUAGCACUGGGCCCACCUCAACAGGCAACCCUUGGAUUUCAGCCAUUGGGCCAGUCAAUACUGUCAGCAAACCUGAAUACUUAUGAUGACUGGUCUCGUCAACGGGAUGUCCAGGCUGUCGAAGAUUUUAAUCUCUCGGAGGAAGAGAUCCGCAUGAGAAGCCAUGAAAUACUAGAGAAUGAAGAAAUGCAACAAUUGCUUCGUGUUUUCAGCAUGGGUGGGGCAUCCACCAGUGUACCAGAAGAUGGAUAUGGUUUUCCAUCCUACAUUCCUUCUCCUUGUCCGAACUUUAACUUCGAUGAGGAUCGUAAUCGUUCAUCUGGUAGAGCUGUUGUUGGGUGGCUUAAGAUCAAAGCAGCUAUGAGAUGGGGCAUCUUUAUCAGGAAGAGAGCAGCUCAAAGGAGAGCUCAGCUUGUUGAGCUGGAAGAUUAGCAAAUGGAGUCAUGACAUAGUAGUCUUGGUGUCGUGUCAUACCUCUCAGAAUUAGUUAUCAGCAUUAAAUGCCUCAACUGUAUACCAGGGAGUGAUGAUGCAGACCUGGAGCUCUGGUUAUGUGACUCAUCACGGUUAGACUGCUUGUACACGAUUCUUGACUGUACAGUAGAGUAAGGUUGUUGUUUAGCUCUUCUGCUAUCAUGAUGUCCACCCAUAUGCUCUGAAAGAUCUUUAGAAACAGUGCACUAGUUUACUCAAGACUGUUAACUCUCUCUGUGUAAUGCCACUAAUAUAUAUUCACCAUAAGAUUGUUUUAAUUUAAAACCAUGGGAAUGUAACUCUAUAUUGUGUUGAAUAACUACAGCACAAUUUUCAGGGAGUGUACAUGUGCUGCUUAGCCUGAUGGUAUAAAAUCCAGGUGCUUGCAUAAUUUCAAGGAUACCAAGUAAAGCCUUCAGUAAUUUCCUGGCCGGUCUGAGAAUUACUUUGCUUUGUCCGGCCUGUCCUGCAGCUUUGGCAAAAUUUGUUGGAGAAGCUCAGUCAAGUGUUUGCGGGACCCAUCAAAGCUUUGCAAUGCACAUUAUAUUAAAUAGCGAUCUUUGUUCUUCACUGACGUUUACAUAUUUGAGUUUAAUUAUUGUUCGCUUGGCAAGUGACAUGAAGCAUCCUUUGUCAAGAACCACUUUAAGUGCCUUCCAGUAUGACACAUCUUGCUUGUUUCAGGUGUCACGGCCCAUUAAAUGCUUAAACUGGAGAGACAAAAUUUUGCUAGAUUUCUUUUAUUUAAUUUUUGACAUUCGUUAUGAUGCAAAUGAUGCAUUAUAUGUGACACUUAAAUAAUUAUUAUAUUACAAUGUAAAUGAAAUUUUGAUUCUUUAAAUAUCAACAGCAUAUGGGUCAAGGCAUGGAAAAGAGUCCGUGGUUCUUCAUCGAAAUAACAUAGUAUAUAACUUGAGUGAAUGAAUUGUGUAGUGGAUAAAGGGCAUCAUUUCUGCUUGCAAGUCCCUAUGAUCUUGUUGAGGGAGCUUAGUCUGUUAGUGUGGGUUUUCCCUCCUUCCUGUUUUUAACACAUGGUAAUUCUGCUAACAGGAAAAGAAAAGAUGCCAAACUAUGUACAUCAAUGUGGUCAAUGUAAUAAGUGAGGUUGCUUACCGUGAAUGAAGUGAGUAAAAAGCUUAUCAGACAAGAAUUGGACAUUGACCUGGCCAAAACUUAACCAUUAGUCCAACCAUCAGAUCAACUGGUCGGAUCCCAAACGUUUAAAAAAUAAAAUAAAUGAAAAUAGUUUUAUAUAUGAUAAAAUAAAAUAUAUUUUAUCAUGGUAAUCGUACAGGUCAGAUUCCACUAAUGGUUAAGAAAUUUAAACCUGGCAGGUCCCGGGUCAAAUGCAGUCCGAUCUUAUUAGAUGUCAAAAUUGGAUCUGAACUUGGUUCUCUAGUUUUCCUCUCCAACUGAUAUAAGCCAUGGGUGAUUCUUUUUUCCUGAAUUAAAUGGUGACAAGCCAUAUCAUGAAAUUAAUAAAUUAAGAAAUGAAGAUCAUAAGAGAAAAACAAAAAUAGAUAAAAAAAAAAAGGAAAAGCAUGAGUGGAUAUUUUUAUUUCGUUGAGUAAAGUGCCGUAUUAUGAUUUUUUUUUUGAUAAACCAUAUUAUGACAAUGGUAAAUGAGACGAGACAUGAACAUAUCAUAGAAAAAAAAUAUAUAUUUUUUUUAAGAAAAGGGAGAGGAAAGAAAGGAGCUGGUACAAAAUCAUGUUCAAUCCAAACAUCAAGCCAUCAGUGACAUUGCAGUGCAAAUUUGAAGAGCCAAGGAGACCCACAGAUGCCAACGAUGUGCUGUGACUCUGUACUUGACCUGGACCAGCCAAUCCCGCUUCGAACAUGACCCCAACGCGUCAAUCUAUGGGUUGGGUAUGACUACUAGGUCAGACACAUUUGAAAACUUUGGGUUGGGUCUGGGCCCAAGGUUUAGACCCGACCCAACAUGGCCCGGUCCCUACUAAUCACCCAGUUCACCUGUGCCUAUAUAUAAAUAGAGGUGACGGUUGUCUGGAUCCAGAUAUAAAUAAAAAUCUAAUGAUUCGGUUACUAUUCAUAUCGGUGUCCGUAUCUGUCAAGGAAAAAUAGUUAUGAUAUUGAUAAACAACAAUCCAAGUAUAUCUAAAUAUCUGAACCUAUUUAUAAUUUUAUAUAAUAUUUAUUAUUUUUUUAAAAUAUAAUCAUAUAAAUUUAUUAUUAAAUUAAUUUAUAAUUUAUUUAAUAAUAUUUUUAUUUAUAUAAUUAUAAAACUUAAUUAUUUAAUUUAUAUCCACACUUAUGAUAUCUAUCCUAUCCGGUUUCAGAUAUCCAAAUUUUUAAUGGGUCAAAUCAAAUUUAUGUGAUAUAUUUCCUUAAAAAGGAAGUAGAGGCACGCGUAUGGAAGGAAGCACGCCCGGUGGGACUCGAACCCACAAUCGCCUGAUUAGAAGUCAGACGCCUUAUCCAUUAGGCCACGGGCGCAGUUAGAACACUUAGGAAUGUUAACUAUAAUAAUUCUUUGUUCUCGAAAUUCCUCCCUAUCGUUCUUCCCCCGCGAGAACGCUGGAGAUCUUCCCGUCUCCACCCUCUCGCCUCUUAUUUCAGCGUGCAGAGGCAUUUUCAGGAUUCACUAUUUCUACACUCAGCCCUUAUGCCCUUCCACAGAUUUUAUUCAUUUGCAUUACUUAAAUAGCAUUACCUUCUUUCUAUUUCUGCGGAGUUAGCUGGUAAUCAUAUAUCCUGCACUUCAAAUUUCAUUGGAUGAUCCCAUUGAGAAGUAUAUGCCUUAUCCUGAGUAGUUAAGGCAUUGUUAGAGGGAGGAAGAUAGCUCUUUUGUUAAUGGGUAAGAAUCAUAUUUUAAAGACAAAUCCAACCAGCUUAUGAUGAAUCUGGAAUGCAAGCUACCAUAAUUAAGAUUACAAUUGGAAAUUGUUAAUUUUUCGUGCUGUCAUAAUUUUAUGACAUAAAAAUGUACCUAUAUUUCAAAUUCAAAAGCUAUCUAAUUAUUAAAAUGAAAAAUCGGUUUUGGCUAGUUUUGUUAUAAAUUGUUCUUCAACAUUUUAACAGUUGGAUGCGCCUCUUUUGACAAUGAUGAGGGAUCCUCCACCUUGUGUAACAACCUUGGCAUCCAUUGGUCGGGUCAUCGAUCUACUCCUGUAGAAGAUAUAUAAAAUGGCAGUAGUUGUAAGAAAUAGCAGUCCAUAUGAAACCAGUUACAGCUCAAGUUCAAGGACUGGAGGAGUUUUCACAUUGAAAGAGCUGGCAAUGAUUGCAUCAGAUAUUCAGAAACCUUUUAGAUGUAGAAUAUUUACCAAGCAACCAAAAAAAAAAAAAAGCCCUUGAAUGUAGUUCCAAGUAUAUUGAUCAAUGAUUUGAGUUCUUUCAAAUGCGUUCAAUAGUUUCUUGCGUUUUCCUGUCAUGGCAUGUAUAAAGAUGUGAGAUGAAUAGCACAUAAUUUUCAGAGAAUUAUAGGAGAAUGUAUGCAGAGUUUUCACGAUGAUCAUAGUGACUGUGUGACAGAUAUCAUCCUUAUCAUGCAAGCUAAACGAAUUUUAGAAAUUCUUGGUGUAACAGGGCUUUCGCAAACUUUAUUGGUGGCAAGAUUGCGUAUGGCUGGCAUAAACUUGAACUCCAACACUGAUAUCAUCCAGGAGGUUCCCCCACUGUUAAGGACAAUAUAUGGUAGUCAGGGAUGAUGGGGUAUUGUGGAGGAGAAAUAUAUUUGGAUGGCUUGUGAAGGAAAUUAAGGGCUUUUCUGGGAAAUUUAGCAAGAUUGGACUAGAUUUCCUACAAAAAUUUAAUCAGUUGGCCGAUCCAGCCUAUAUUCUUCUAACAGCCUGUUUUAAUUUUAUCCUGAAUACCAUAUGUGGACCUGUUGGCCUUCAGAAAGCGGCAAAAAAAGAAAAAAAAGAAAUCUUCAUAAGUCUUUUUUUUUUUCCUCCUACAGAAUUUUUGGGCUAGAGAGAUACCCGACUGAUAUUGGUAUAUCCAAAUAGACUACCUAUUCAAUGAAUACAACUGAAAAUCAAUUUAUCUGUGUCCACUGAUGUGGAUGUCACGACGAAAUUGAGCAGAUCCAUUAGGAGGCCUCGUUCUAAAUUAAGCUAAAUUUUAACCCGAAUUUACUUUUGGCCUAAGGUUUUGAUUCAAAUCUGACCCAUCAUUUCACUGAUCUGGGUCGAGUCCCAAUUCUUUGUUCUUGGGUUUAAGGUGGUGAGGCAAUAAUCAGGAUUUUGAUCUAAUUUCCGCAAAGUCAAAUCUAGUUCAUUCAAGUUUGUUCAGUAACCCAAUUGCUAGUUAGUUUCUGAUCUGGGAUCUAAUUUAGAAUCCAUGCCCAGGCCGUAAGUUUUAAGCAUGUGUUGAAUCCAAGUCAGAUAGGGCCAGACCCUGCUCUACCAUGACCACUUGCACAUCACGUAGGAUAAUGGUAAGUUAAUGCAGUAAAAAUGUGGUCGAUCCGACUGUGUGAUUUGUGGUUUGAUGGCUUUUGAAGUCUCGAACAAGGUUAGGGGUGACUCUGGUCCACAGCUGGAAGUGGGCUCAUGCCUUGGCCAGAAAAGAUACGGUCUGAAGUCCAAGGUUUGAAUGAGUUUUGGGAUCGUACGGCUCCACUGCAUCCGUCCUCUUGCUGCGUCCGCCCACCGCCUCUCAGAGGACUCGUGUCCUUCACGGCAUGGCCGGAGAUGAGCCACUGGAGAGGACCGUGCGGCUUCAUUGGAUCCACCCUCUCGCCACGGCCGUCAGUGCCCGGUCCGCCGCCUUCCGAACGGCUAGGCCACUGCAUCUACUACAUCGAUUGGCCAUCGGAGAGGAUCGCAUGGCUCAGGCCACUACGUCCACCCCCUUGCCAGGGCUGCCAGCGCUCGAAGACACCCCAUAGAGCGUGACAGAGAGGAAAAGGGCUGGUCUUGGCUCCCAUGAAGUGUUUCAGACCGCUGGAGUACGGUGCUUAUUAUAUAGUGGGGUUGGCUAUUUAAGACGGUUAUUGGAGACGGCUCGAGCUGUCACUAUGGUUUCUAUUAGAGACGGCUAAGCCGCCUUUAAAAGAUAUUAAUUAAUUUUUAAUUUAGUCAUCGGCGAACUAUAGGUGUAGAGGAGAAACGGCGACAGAAAAAAUCAUCACAGAAAAAUAUUAAAUAAUUUUUUAAUUAGCUGUUACCGUACUGUCUUUAAAAAUUUAUUUAUUUUUUAAAUCUUCGAUAGCUAUGCAUCUCUGGAAACCCAACCAUCUCUAAUCCAUCUUUAUACUAUCUCUAGUAUUUAAUUAAAAUAAAAAAAUUUAAUUAUCAUCUCAAGGCCGUAUCAGUUGACCAUCAUAGAAGACCGCUGUCUCUAAGCCAUCUCAGUAUCAUCGGCAAAAAUAAAUUUCUAAGGCUGCUUUUUACCCGUCUCAAAUAAACCAUUUCUAAAGCUAUAUUUUUCUUGUAGUGUGCGGAUACUGCUGUCCACUCUUGCAAUUCCACCGGACCCAUAAAGUGGACCUAUUAUCUCUUUUGGAGUUUAGAUUCUCUACAGUUCGGGAUUGAACCAGGAAAAUCCAUGCUUACCUUUUUUUUUUUUUUUUUUUUUGGUGUGUGUCCCGGAAGUUUCGAGUUUGGCAUCGCAUUUUUGUCGGUGGAUUGAGACCUGGGCAUCAACAAUCCUGUCCAUUUCCAAGGUGGGUGACAUGUGGUCCAUUCAAAUGUGCAUACACCAAUCUUUGUGGUGUGAAACAUAUACUGUGAAAUAUGACGAUUGACGAUUAUUGUGUACUAUAUAUAUAUAUAUAUAUAUAAGAAAAGUAUUCGNNNNNNNNNNNNNNNNNNNNNNNNNNNNNNNNNNNNNNNNNNNNNNNNNNNNNNNNNNNNNNNNNNNNNNNNNNNNNNNNNNNNNNNNNNNNNNNNNNNNNNNNNNNNNNNNNNNNNNNNNNNNNNNNNNNNNNNNNNNNNNNNNNNNNNNNNNNNNNNNNNNNNNNNNNNNNNNNNNNNNNNNNNNNNNNNNNNNNNNNNNNNNNNNNNNNNNNNNNNNNNNNNNNNNNAUUAUUGUGUACUAUAUAUAUAUAUAUAUAUAUAGAAAAGAUUCGAUCCGUCAUGUAAGAUAUUGUCCGCUCUGAUUCAUACAUCUCAUAAUUUUGUCCUUUAAAAGAUACCUCACGUAGGAAGAAUUUUUUCCUCCUUAUAAAUGUGAAUCUCUUUUGACUCACAAUCGAUGUGGGACUAUUGGUGCCCUCCAUAUUAUUAGAACCACAACAGAGCCCUCCGAUCAAGAAAGACUCCGAUGUAUAUAGUCUGAGGAGCUCCACAGUCAGUCAAAGCGGACCUCAGCUCUAGAGAAUCGAAGCGGACCUCGACUCCUAUCUGACGCGCCAUUAUUGCGGACAAAGAUUUGGCCCGUCACGUGAGAUAUUGUCCGUUCUGGUCUAUGGGCUUCAUGAUUUUGUCCUUUAAAAGAUGCCUCACGUCGGAAGAAUUUUUUCUUCUUUAUAAGCACAAGUCUCUCUUAACUCACAAUCGAUGUGGAGUUAUUGGUGUCCUCCAUAUUAUUAGAACCAUAUAUAUAUAUAUAUNNNNNNNNNNNNNNNNNNNNNNNNNNNNNNNNNNNNNNNNNNNNNNNNNNNNNNNNNNNNNNNNNNNNNNNNNNNNNNNNNNNNNNNNNNNNNNNNNNNNNNNNNNNNNNNNNNNNNNNNNNNNNNNNNNNNNNNNNNNNNNNNNNNNNNNNNNNNNNNNNNNNNNNNNNNNNNNNNNNNNNNNNNNNNNNNNNNNNNNNNNNNNNNNNNNNNNNNNNNNNNNNNNNNNNNNNNNNNNNNNNNNNNNNNNNNNNNNNNNNNNNNNNNNNNNNNNNNNNNNNNNNNNNNNNNNNNNNNNNNNNNNNNNNNNNNNNNNNNNNNNNNNNNNNNNNNNNNNNNNNNNNNNNNNNNNNNNNNNNNNNNNNNNNNNNNNNNNNNNNNNNNNNNNNCUACUAUAUAUAUAUAUAUAUAUAUAUAUAUAUAUAUAUAUAUAUAUAUAUAUAUAUAUAUAUAUAUAUAUAUAUAUAUAUAAGGUAAAACUUCAGUGCAAAACAAUGAUUCCAUCCAUCACUGACUAUAAUACGACUAAAAGGGAUCCCAGCACAUAGCAGCCCUCCCAGAGAAAUUAUUGUCUACUCUACGUACACUUCGUGGUGAUGCAUAUAGCCAAUUAUAGCCAUAAUUUCUAUAGGUUCUUUUUUUUUUUUUUUUUUUGAGAAAUAGAAUAGCAACAACCAUCUAAUUAUAUUGAAAGAACAGAGUUUUAUAUGAGCUAUUUACAAAUAAAAAGGAAAAGUUUUAACCGUGCUCCUUGAGGUGAACCAAUUAAACAAUAGGGAUCCAAGGUAUCUGCACAAAUGCAAAAGAUAUAGAAGAAGAAGAAGAGGAGGCAUCUUAGAUUUCUGCUUGAUGAAGAAAAAAAUUAUCCCAAUCUAUUUAUGGGAUAGUGGUAGAUCAGUAUUUUCUGUAGCUGAUCAUGACUAUCUAGUAUCCUCGAUAGGUACAAAUGCUUCAAAAAAAUAAAAGAAAUGUAAGAUUUUUUGAAGAAUAGAGUAAGCAAAACUUAUUUUUCUAAUUUUUUUUAAAUCUGCUGAUUCCAUUCAUCAAGCAUGCAUUUGGGGUCAUCCUUACGGAGACCAGCGGUUGUAAUUAGCUGUAUACAUAGUCACGCUGGUGUAUGCAGUAUAGACAAUAACUCCUCCCUUUUAUGACAUGUUUGCACCAGGGACUUGCAUCGUGAUAGGAGCGGAGGUGUCCUAAGCAUUGUGCUUCUAAAGUAUAAGGCCAUGAUGGAACGAGGUCAUUGGCAUCAAAAACAUCUCCUUGCUUUAGGGUCAUGUCGAGGGGCGGGCCCCUUUUAUUUUUGUAAUGGAAAAUCUUGAUUGAGGUUCUCUCUCAUCCUGGUGGGCAAUGGAAGAUUAAGACCUCCAACUGCGUAUCUCUAAUCUUGUUUGGCCUUUUAGUAGCUUGCUUACAGGACUCGACCCCUCUAGCCGACACGACUUUCUCUAGUAACGAGGGCAUUGGUUCCAUCAAGUCCCUUUCAGAAAGAUCAGAUCAUAUUUAUGCCGUUUCUGACUUGUCCAUCCUACCUAUCCUCGAAUGAACUGUUGGCCUCAAGAAUCCUUUCAUGGCAGCUCCACUCGAGCUAGGUCUCCACUCCAACCUUGCGCCCGGAACCUAUUAAUGCCUCAAAUCUUGACGGGAUGCAACCAUAGGAUCCAUGACCACACGCAUUUACAAGAUUCGGCAUCUAAAAGCGUGAUUAGAUGAGAAGUUUGACACUUAGAUUAUCAGAGAUCCGGCAAUGUCGGAAUGGAUUCUCUUUGGUGUUGGAUCGAUGUUUCCUAGAUGAAGUUGAAGUGGAAAUAAGACUAGCACUUGGUAAGUUCUUAGAUUUUGAGCCGGACAAAAAUUUAGAUAUAUAGUCGCUUUGAAGGAGAAAUCAAAUUCGAAGACUAUACGUCAUAAAAAUCUCGACAACUGCUCAAACUUUCUAGCUCUAAUUGCUUUUGUCGAUCUGAAUUUGAUUUCCUUUGUCGGCAAAACACGUAAGGUUUGUGGAAAGAUGCAACGUGUGUCGACUUGUUGGAGAUGCAUAGGAUUCAUCAGCAUCUAUUCAAGCAACACACCUACUCGUGAAAGAUGCUCCCGUGUUGAAAUCUAGGCCAACAACUUUCACCUGUACAAGCUCUAAGCUAUGGCACUGAGUUUUUGUUUUACAUUAAAAAGAGCAAACUGUAAAUGAUGUCUAGAAGAUGAUGGGAUCAGAAUAUUUCAUUAUAUUAGCAAACAUUAAAAGUCCAAAGGCACUCAGAGAUUCUUUUGCAUUGAAAGGAUGCCGACUAGACGGUAGUCAUAUUUAUGUUUGUUAGGUGGUAAAGUGUGGGAAUUUAUUGGCAAGUCCUAAUCUUAAUUUUUAUUUAGCUGGUUAUUAAUUCUAAUAACUUUAGGUUUUAAGUCCACGUUAAGUCAUAUCUUAGCUUUAAUAUAUUUGAGUAUGUUUUUUAGUUAAAAAGGGAUGGUGAUAUUUUUGUCAUUUAGUGGCAAAUGGUGAUACUUUUCUUUUUUUAGUAGGAGAAAGAGAAUGGUGUUACUAAGAGGGGGAGAGUGAUGUGAAGAGAGUUGAAGAAAAAUUUUUGGUGUGAUGAGGUGUUUUUAAAAGUGAGACCGAACUCAUUAUUUUUUAUCUUUAUUUUUUUGAAUAAUUUUUUCUAUCAAUUUUUUCAUCCACAACUGUUGCUUGAUUUAAUUAGUGAUUAUUUUGAAUCCUGAGUUGGCACGUUUAAUCUACAUAGAGUAACAUGCCAUUUUACAUGGUACCAUAGAGUGGUUGGAAUGUGGUCAAGCACUGUGCAUCUUCGAUUUGAUUUUUUGGAGCAUAAUUUCUGAGCAACAAUUUGAUUGUUAGUGAUUUUGAAGGUAGUUAUUCAACUUGGUUAUUGUAAGUUUGUGCAAAUGUAUGAACUCUCUUAUAGUUCAAUUUUCAGAUCAUAAUGGUUGAGUUCAUCAAUAUCAAUAUUUUUUGAUUUCACCAACAUCAACAAGGUUGUUUUUGUUACUACCACUUGUCUUCAUAAAUAUUAUCCAAUUUGGAAGUUCAAUUUGAUAGGAUAAAAUUUGUGGGAUAUUUCAGAUGAGUUAGAGAUGAUGUCAAUAGGUACUCUAAAUAAUGAGCUUGUGAGAAGAAAUUGGAAUCUAAAAUUUAGAAAAGUGAUGUGGAUUCUCCAAGGCUUCAAUGGAUAGAAUAAAUUAUGCCCACAUCCAAGAUAUAAAGGAUCCAAAGAAAGUAUGCAUAUUCUUAUAGCCGCCUAUUUAAGUUCCAGUAAGAUGAGACAUCUCAAAUAAAAAUUAUCUGAAUUAUGAAAUUUGAUUCCAAUCUUCCCCAAAAUCCAAAUUAAAAGAAGAGUAGAAAUAGUUUAAAGCAAGAGAAGCUUGACCAGUUCCAGGUUGAAUCGAGUUUAGAAGAAAUUCUAAAAUAUAGCAAGAUUGAUCGGCUCAAGAAUUAAUUAGUUUAGGAAGAAAAUCUAAAGCAAGAGGAGCUUGAUUAAAUAGAUGUUGCAUCAAAUAUGCAGGGAUUGUUUUUGAAAAAUCUAUUGAUUUUGAAAUUUCUUAGAAAGGGUCAAUGGAUGUUGUAGUUGAUCUAAUUAUAGGGAUAUAUAUUGAAGGGUCAAAUCAUGUAGAAGAGACUUUUGUUAAAACUAUCAACUAUGUGGAUGUUUAUUGAAGUGAUCUAGUCAGCCAUGAGAAUGAACGACCAACUAAUUUUAAAGUAGUUUUGGAGAUUAAGCAAUAAAAAGAUAUACCUUGUGUUGAUGAAUCAUGUUGCAUCUUAGUAUUCAAUAAAUUUUUAGUGCACCAGUUAAUUUUGAAACUACUUCAUAGCUCAAAUAGUGAAAAUAUACUAGGAUUUGAUUUUAUGUAUAGAAACUAGGUGUAUACGAAUAUAUGUGCUGCUUAAUUGGAGGCAUGUGAAUGUAAUAAAAAAUAUUUAUUGAUUUUAUUUAUUUCUAGAUAAUGGUGAAUGCUUUAGUGAGUAGUAAAUACAAUUGAAAAUUUGAUAUUUGAUGAGAUAAGCUGGAUGCUUGAUGGAGUCUCAGCAUAGUGACGAUGAAGUCAAUACUGAAAGGAAGUAUUGGAAGAUAUCAUCAAUUUUGAUACAUGUAUCAAAGGGGAUGAGCUAAUGAAUGAAUUAUUCUUCAAGCUAAUAAAAGAAACUACUGUUGCCUAGAGAUAGUGAGCUAGGAGGAGGUUGAAUUGGAUUCUUUAAAAGUUUAAAUUAAAUAUAUGUUCUUAGAUCAAGUUUCAAGUAUGGUUAUGAAGUGCUUAAAGAAGGAUAUAAGUCAGAGUGGAAAGUAAAUACAAAAUAAUCAUAUAAAUAUAAAUACACAAAGAUUUAUAGUGGUUCAAUGCCAAACUCAGUAUCUACAUCCGCUCCUCAAGUCUCUGUAUUUAAGAAUCUCAAUUAUAAUCAUUUCUCAAUUACAGUUCGAUUAUUUUUUUGGGCUUAAAAUCACAUCCUGUUAGUUUUGCUCGGGUUCACCAACCACAAUCUUUCUAACUAAGUCUCUAAGACUUAGUUAAAUGCAAACAUCUAAUUAUGGACUUGAAUCGGCCUUAAUCUCCAAAUUUCUAACCCCAAUAAACUCAUUACAAUAUAAAGAGUAUAAAGAAUGAACAAUUUAAAGCAUAAAUAUAAAAACUCUUUGAAGCUUAGGGAAGUCGGUGAUGAAGCAUCUUAAAUGCUUUUGACUUUCUCUUUGAUUGCUUGAGAGAAUGCUUUGAAUGAUUACUUAAUUAGCCGGUAGCUCUCACAAUGCAUCCAAUAAGGUUCUCUUCUCAAUUGAAUUAAAUACUAGAAGAUGGCAAUUGAUUGCUAUCUUGAGUUCUCCUUUUUUUUUAAUAUUUUAUACUUAGAUGUAUUCUCUAAUUAAAUUUUUUACUGUUUUAUGUUUUCACCUUGAGACUAUUCUGGGAUCAACUCAUAUCCUGCUAGAAUUGACUAGAGCUCUAUUGGGGUUGACUCGAGAUGUAUUGGAGUCGACUCUUGGAAUAUCCUAAAUUUAUCACUCUUUAUCUAGCAUCCUGAGACUGUUUUAGUCGACUCGAGUUUUAUUGGGAUCGACUCGUGAACUAUGUUAAUCUUCUUUAGGCAUACCAGAGUUGGCUCUUAAUAUCUUGAAGCCGACUCUUCUCCUUCAUCCUUUGUCAAAAGCUUAACUUAGAAGACUUUUUUUUUGAAUAUUUUAGAGAGGGCCUCUUGAUUUCAUGUACAACCUUUGAGCAUUAGACAAAUCGCUAUAGUUAUUCUCUCAAGCAUGCGUUAGUAUUAAUUAUACUCAAGCAUUUUAUCAAUCCUUAGAUUAACAACUGCAUUAUUUAGUUGUUGGUUCAACAGAUUAUUGCAUAUUGUUGUUACUGUGGUAAUAACAGUAACAGCUACUAUGGUGUUCCAUGAUAUCGUUAAAUUCAAUAUUAUUGAUAUAGACUUCACAAUAGCGUGUGUUGAGAUUUAUCAUCAAGUCCUAAUCUCAUUAGAAUUUUUGAGAGAGUGAUCUGAAGAGAGCCGAUGAGAAAUUUUUUUGAUAAGAUGAAGGAUGUUUGAGACUAGGAGCCAAAAAAACUCAUUGUUUUUGGUCUUUAUUUUUCUUUUGAAUAAAUUUAUUUUUUCCCUCAAACUUUUUUCUUCUACUACUAUUAUCUGAUUUAAUUAGUAAUUACUCUGGAUCCAGAACCAACACAUUUGAUCUAUACAAAGUAGCAUGCCAUUCUGCAUAAAGAUCACAUAAGAAAGACAUUGACUUAGAGAUGCAUCCUUUUGAAACAGAUGACAUAGAGAUCUAUCAAGAUAGAUGGACAGAAGUGGUAGAAAGGUAGAAUUAUGUAGUACGAGUUGCUGAAGGAUGCCCAAGAUCUUAAACUCUCUCGCAUAAACUCUCCUUUCUUUCUUGUCUUUUACCCUUCUUCUUGCUCCUAGAUAUAUAAUAUAAAUUGCUAUAUACUUCUAAUAACUGUAUCCAUCUCUCAGAGAUCCAUCUUUCAAGAUCGCUAUAUCAUAUAAAUUUUUCUUGCUCUAUUUUUCAAGAUCAGCAUUUAAUUUUCCAAGCCCUAAAAUCUCAAAAUUUGUAUUCAAAUCCUUCCUGUUAAAAAAAAAUCAAAUAUCGUUUCAUUGGAAGAAAUUGUAAAUACCUAAAAUCUUAUCCGUUUCAAUUUCCGAAAUAUUAUAUAUAUAGAGAUUUGAUUCACUCCAAAGAACUACUAUUUUUUAUUAUGGGGUCUGGUUUCCAUGAUUGUAUAAAGCUGACCAACGGCCGCUCCACUUAAGCACCUUUGGGAAAAAAAUCAUAUACAAUCAAAACGCCCCUCACCUUCUCUUUUGCCAGCCAGAGAUCACCACCACCCGUGAGAGUCCAAUCAUUGCUUGUUAGCAUUGGGAUAUACCCACCAGGCAUCCCCUUUCCAACCUCCGGCCCAUUUGAUGUAAAAAAUUUCGUAGACUCGCAGCGUCGAUCUAAGUUGUUGGAGAUCAAAUAAGAUGGAACUCCAUAUCGAAACAGCAGAAGAAGCAAAGAUACAGAUUACAUGCAACAGGAGUCUGCAUUCUGUCCUCAGACAUCAGCACGCACCUCCACUGGGAAAAAAGGGAGAACUUUCUUCUGUUUCCACAGUAGUAGGACAUCUUUUUUGAGAAUCACAGUAGUGGAAUAUCGAUAACAGAACAGACUACAUAUUAAGCUAAUCCACACCCUUGUUACACUCGAACUUGUGCAAUCCAACAUUGUCAUGUUAAAAAAAAAGUCUUCUGAUCACCAUCAUAGCGUCUCUACUUCCCUUCCAUUUGACCUCCAGGGCCAUUCUAUAUAGUCUACACAUGCAAAUAACUAGUCAAAAGGAAAAAUGGAAAACAAAGUGUUUGAUUGACUUGAAGCAAAGUACCUCCAGAAGCUUCGUUAUAAUACGGUGCACUCCAAAUUAAGAGAGAAAAAUUAAAGGAAGACAGGAGUAAUGAGAAGCAAAAAGAGAUCGAGCACAUGUCAUAGCCUUAGGGACAAGUCGAUUCCAUCAGCCAGCUCUCUUUUAUCAUCUGAUUCCUUGCGACUCCCCAGCCUUAUCGACGCCCUUGACGCCUCCCGGCCUCGUGUGGCCAACCCCACUCCAUUAUAGCAGCACUCCUCCCUUUGUCUCUCCACCAAGACAACGGUCGAAGUAUGCUGGCCGAUGGUGGAGCCUGCGUGCGGGCGGAGGGCCGUGGCCAGUUCCCAGCUCCUCUUGGCAAGGCUCCUCUCGAGCUUGUGCGCAUUCUGAUGGCCCCCAAGAGCUUGCGAGCUGUAGAACUUUUUCUGGCAGUAGUUACAAGAGAAGACUCGGGCCGGCUCGGGCGGGGACGAUGGCUGGAGGGCUAGAUCAAGGUUAAGCUCCGGGUUCUCCGGUUCCAUGUCCGUGGACGGACUUGGGGGAAGACAGAAGAGGGGAAGUGGAUGGGCUUGCGAGUAUGGGUAUUCUAUCAAGAGAGGUGAGGAUGUGGUUGGUUAAUUAGCUUGAUGAAAUAUAAGCUAGGAUAUGGAAGUAACGGUCUGCUGCUCCCCUGGAACACAAUAGGGGGAAACCGGGGCAAGGACCAGGGUCUGGAGAAAGAUCAGCAAGUGGAGCGGGAUCGAAGGGUUGUCGCCACCAUUUAUGGCAGCAUUUGGUGGGGUGCGGUGUGUAGUAACAGAUGCGCUGAUCCUGCUUCUCAACUUGCUAGCUGUUUCUUUCUUCUCUACCGUGCGCUCUGUGUGUGUGUGUGUGUGCUGUUCAAAAAGAUGCCAUGGGAUGGAGCAAGAGUUUUAGAAGGUAGAUCACACGUAUCUGUGAAUAGUCACUUGAGGAUGUAAUGCAGGGGGGGGACCGAGGUGUGGUGCAACAACGGUAGCAUGAAGGAUGGUUCUACCAAAAUGAAUAUGUGACACUUAAACCUGAGCACGUUCGGUCGGUCACAUCCAUCAUUUCCUCUAGAGAUCACCUUCCUUACAUUAGAAUGCAUGGUUUAGAAAUGUAGGUAAAUUUUGUUUUUAAAAAAAUGUGAAUGGAAUGAAUUAAUAGUUUAGGCUUGCAGAUGUUAUUUACAUGCAAAAAUUAAUAUAUCUUGAUCGACUAUAUAUGGUUAACAGUAUAUAUUGAUUUGGGUUUUGAUGCAGCAAAGUUGGAGAGAUUAUUGUUAGCCACUUGUCGUUAUGAAAGAACCCCAUUUGGAUUUGGAAGGCUAAUUGGUAGAAUUAACGACUAGUGAAAAGUUGUCGACUAGUGAGUUAUUUCUGCAAGGAACCGCUUGUAAUCGCUAAGGAGGGAGUUAUCCAGAUUUGAGACUAUUCGAAAAAGAAUAAUUAAUUUCCUAAAAAAAAGACAAUUAUUACCGGAAAUAACUACCUUUCUCCCUGAUAAUUAAAGAAAUAAGAAGCCCUCAUUUGCGCAUGAUCUCACUCUCGGCUAUGGUAGCCAUGUAUUUCAAAAUUGGCAUCGGGAUCAGGAUCAAGCCCCUAUGCGAAAGAUCUACCCAAUCUGGACCUUUUUUCUUUGUCAUUCCCAAAUAUAUUUUAUUGCUCCAUUUUAUGUGAUGGAUUAAUUGUAUCACACUAUUAUUUUUAUAGUGAUGAUUGCUAUGCUGAUUUGGAUGAUCGUUAUAGUGUGAAUGAUGACGGUUAGCUGGCUGGAUAUUAUUAACCUAAAGUAUUACAUAAUUUGUGGAAGACCGUAGGAAUUCCCUAAAUACGCUGCCAAAAUUAUACAUCAACCCCUAUAUCACAUUGCACAUUAUAAAUCUCAUUGACAAGGCAUGAAAAAGAGGCCAUAACUCUCAUUGACGAUGGAAGAGAAAAAAUUGAAACAAAUUAAUAUUUGGAUGCAGAUCACGAGCAUAGGAUAUGUGUUAGAUGCACAUCAGGUGGCAAGAGUUCAAAUCUUUGUGGAGGAAAAUGGUGAAGAGGGGCGCCACCAGGCAGGACGAGUUAAGGCAUCAAAGCCAUUUACAUCUAUGCACCAAAGUACGCUGGAGCCAAGCAUGCAAAGGCGUGUACAUAAAAAAUUCUGAGCUAUGUGCCUUGCUAUCAGGUUAAUCGGCAAGAGUCAAGAAGAGUAUAAACGAGAGUGAGCAGAGGCCCAUACAGAGACCAUUAUGAGAUAUAUUAUUAUUAAAAGAUUCUUGGCUUGAAAAACUGACUUUAAUCAUGCAAGCAAUGUUUUAGUGGGAUAGGCUUUUGAUGAUGAGAUAUUUUACUUUACAUGGCACCUGCUUACAGAUCAAUGAAUAGGGUGAGAUACGUGAUACUCCAAGACAGUAGUGUGAUUUAAGUGUGACCACAAAAAGUAGCAUCAUGCUACUAAACUCUUGUAAAUCAAACGCAAUUAAGGUUACGUUUGGUAAGGAGAUAAGUUUGGAGGGAUAUCUCUUGACGGUGGAAGGGCUAGAAUUUUUAUGGGAUAAGUCUUCUUUCGAUGUUUGGUUGGAGGGAAAAUUACAGAAAAAAAAAAUAUGAAUGCAUUGAUUUUUGCAAUUAUAUUUGAAUUUGUCAUAAUGAUAAAAUUGUUGUCUUGCUUUUUGGUAUUUUUAAAGAGUGAAUAAAGAUAAAAUUUUAAUCAGAGGGAAUAAGUUUCCUCUAUUUGGCGGGACUAAUCUAUUCCGACAAAAUGGUGGAAUAGAAUUAUCCCUUCCCUCUUCUAACUUUUGCACUUCUUGAGUAAACCUAUUCCGGGAUGCUUUUGAGGAUAUUUCCUCUAACUAUCCUCGUAUCAAUAAAAAAAAGAAAAAAAAAAACCUCGUAUCAACUAAGAUGAUCGAUGUGAACCUCUGAACUUUCUGAAUGAAACUAGUAGCUAAUUGGUCGUAGAUUAAAAGGACAUGUCAACCAUCUCAGCCAACACAAGGACGAGUAGAUGAGAUUCGAGAGGAUAAAAAGUGAAAGUCAAAUGAUUAAUUUGAGUUGAUAGUGUUGGUUCCAGGAAUCUAAGGUUGUUCUUAGUCUUCACAUCUUUUUUCAGCUAUGAUGGUCCAUGGAGUUUAUUCUAUUCUUGCUGGAGAAGAAGAAGUUUGUUUCCUGGUUGUACGUACUAGACAAACCUAAUCCCCACAUGUAUUGUACGUGUAUAUCACCCACAGAAUGGAGAAGAUUAUACAACUAAGCUAGGCCUUGAAGAUUCAAUACCAACCGGUUCUUGGAUGAGGGAUCGAGGAGCACACAUUAUGCCGACCAAAAAGGUCUGUAUAUAGUUAGUGUCUAUUUGUUUGUUUGUUUAUUUGUUUGUUACUGAACAAGAGAAAAAAGUUGCACUAGUUUGACAAUUACGUCUGAUAAGACGCAUCAUCAGCAGAAAUCAAUCUCAAGUACCAUCCCUCAUCUCUCUAGUUCCUUGAGUGGGGAGAACAGAGUUGAUCAUAGUGCGUGUCGCGGUUGCAACCAAUGAAUGCAGUUGCACUGAACUCAUCCGACACGGGUUGGAGCAUGCAGCUAAUGUCUCGAGAGCUUUGUGAAGGUGAGAAGAAAAGAAACAGCGACCUUGUACCAUCAUUAAAGUAGAAGCGGUCCGAGUGGGGCUAAGGGUGCCAUAGCUGGCGCUCGUUGUGGCAGUCCCAUAGUACAGUACUCGUGUCUGGGAAAUGAAACCGACGGAUGCGAGCCUGUGGUGGUUGGAGCAAGAACGGAUCUUGUGCAGUGCGCAUGACAUUGUAGGAUACCAUGCAAUUAUGGAUGAUUAUCAUUGAGAGAUGGAGGACCUUUAAAUAAAACAGUUUUACGAGCAUAUACCGUAACAUUAGUGGUAUAUGUUAUUUGAUGGCCGUCCAUUUUUUGAAUUGCAACCAUCUAAGGAUGCAUUCCUGAUUCGAAUGGAACACAUUUGCAUAUAACUAAGGAUAAUUAAAACAACAACAACAACAUAGAAACUCUUUAGAUGGUUCCAUAGACCCCACACUCGGUGUAUUAGUUCCGAUUGUAUUUUUCAUGCAUUAUAAUGAUUCAUCCUUCUCUGACGAUGUGCACCGUUGGAUUGCCCAAUAACCACUAUGAGAUCUACCUAGACAAAUGAAAGAGAGUGUUUGGAGCGCUUUGAGAUCUAUACAAGAUAUAAUCCAACGGUUGAUGUCGCGAGUUCGUACCAAGACGCAACACAAACCCAUUAGUUCUGAUGGUACUCGACGCGUGUAUCUCCAUCUCCAUGGGCUCCCUGCAUAUAUAGCUGCUUUAUGGAUGGCUAGAACGGGAAAUAGGAGCAAUCUGACCCUCUUUGAUGUAUAUUUGUUUUAAUCGUUUUGACAAGCACGCUUGGUGUACUACUACCUACCAUCUCAGCAAGGAAAAUGAAAAGAAAAAUAAAAAAAAAUUAACGCACCUUUCAAGGUACAUGUACGGGACCUCCUCUUAACAGAGAGACAGUGAAACUAUUAAGCCACAACCCUUUUUGGUACGCCGCCGUCCGUCAUGGAUCUACUUUUGUUUUAGGAGAGUUUUGUUAAGCAAAAAUCAGAGCGUGAGAAUUUCCUCCAUUCUAGAUAUAUUGCUUUUUUUUUAAUAUAGGAGAUCACAGUAAGGCCUCACCGUAGCUCAUGCUGACAAGAAAAUAUGACAUCUUUAGAUUGCGUUGGACGUAUAUACAGCGGUCAAGAACUCGCAUCCCUUCUCCAAUCACACUAGUGGAGUGGCGCAGUACACGGAGGCCAUCGGAUUUCAACAAGAGCCUCUCAUUAACCGUACAGCAACAUGCUGUGGUCACAAUGUACUGCAACGUCCUACACCUUCUCUUUUAUAUGCCUUUUUCCCACUUUAUUUGCCUCCUUUCCCUUUCAUAUGCUUUGGUGCACUAAAGGAAUCUCAUUCCUCUAGUUGUAUCCGAUGACAGCUAGAAUUAAAGUAAGGCCCAUCAAAUAAACACCUUCCAUGGACCUAGAUUAGAGGCAUAUCCUCAAUGCCUUGGUUGUCGAGGACUCGAACUUUCUGAUGGGUAUGUUCGAUCCUUUAUCAGCAGAUGUGUGAGGGUCAUUCUGAUUUGCACUAGCCAUAUUUACUUCAGGGUUGCAGAUGAUUCAAACAAUAUUAUUUCGGCAUUCGUUAUAGUUACAUUUUUCCUCUAUUAGCAGUGGUGCAGGACUGCACUGAUGUCUUUUUGCAUCGAUCUGCAUGCAGACCAUGUACAUAUAAUGCCCAAAUAUCUUAUCCAGGUCCUUUUAACCAACUCUUUGACAUUCAUUCUGCAUAUACCGCAAGGUUGCUGAGAGGUCAAGGUUUCGCAUGCCAUAAGUAAAGGCAAUCAAGCAGCCAAUCUUUUUUUUAAUGAAAAAGAAGGAAGCAAGUUUCUUCCCCCUAUUAUUAAUUAAGUAAAAGAAAUUAUGUAGAGGAGUAAAAGAAACUAAUCAACUUGAGAGUUUCGGCUUGCUCAUGACUGAAUUUAACUUCGCCUUCUGGGUUGGGUGAUAAGUACAUGUCAGCUGAUGCUUGUGGGAUUGGGUUUGUGAGGAUGUAACAGGGAUGCUUCCCCUUGCUUGGCUUCAGUUGAGCAAGGCAUUACUCGUCGAGUUCGGCUUGCAAGUCACCAAACCAGUCUGACUCUCAAGCUGCGUCCAAACCUACAUUUAUGCUUAGGAAAUUUUGCAAGAACAAUCACUAUAUUUUGCAUUAUAUAUAUAGAUCAUGAGGAUAUAGCUCUUAUGUUUUUGCAAGAGUGUUUUUAAAAUUUCCAAACACCUUUUGCCACAAGUUUCAUGGAUACAAUCCAGUAACUAAUUAUCGGAAAACCUAGGCAUUUGGCACCUAGUCAAUACAUGCAUUUACAUAUUAAAAAUAUGUGCAUUUUAUUAAAAAAACAGAUAUGUGCUGUAUUAUUUCAGCCCACGUAUAAAGUUAGAGUGCAUCUGUUAAGAUCAAAAAUACAAGUAUUCAAAAAUUUCACAAUCAAGUAUAUAUGCAAACUAAAUAAAGAAACAUGACCAGAAUUAAAAAAAAAAAGCAGCUUGUUUACUCAAAACUUCUUUAGUUUUAUAGGAGAAAGAGAAAAUCAUGAAUUUGAGAAAUUCUGUUAAAAAUUAUUCUUUAUUUUUCAUAAUUUAAUAAAUUUUAUAAAGUUCUACAGCACAAUAGUUUUCCACAACAGAUUCACAUCUUCCUUUAUCAUUGUCACAGAGCUAGGUUAUUUUUCUUCUUUUAUAAAAAAAAGACAGAGCUAAGGUGCUAUCACCACUCAACACUGAGACAAUACGAGCACAAGAUAGUCCCCAAACCAAAAAAGCAGGGGAAAAAAAAAGAAGGAAAAAACAUCUUAUAUAAUCGUCAUCUUAUCUUGAGAUUUGAGAUAAUGGAUGCUGAAAACUUUUUCUAACUUAUUUGGCCCAAAAAGCCGUAAACGGGCAUCAGCAUCUCUUGAUGAAUAGAGAUGGUUUCCCUUCCGGCAAUGGCCGAUAGAGGCCGACGAAACCCCACGAUUGGGGUAGAAAUAAGAUCGAAGAAGAGGAAGGAAUCACAGGAAAGGUAAGAGUUUUAACAAAAUAAGAAAGCAAGGAAGGAGAGGAGAAAAAAAAUAUUUUUAUUCGGUAGUGUGGGGCCAGCGGUUCGCGCGAGUGCGUAAAGAUUUUGCCGCUCUCAAUUUUGGCGCUCAAGACCCCAGGUGCGGGGUCCACGGCGGUGGACGGAGGGGCCUCCGAUUCCACCAGGGAAACGGCCAAAUGGCGAUUGUUUCGCUUUGCACCGGCGCGGCUGGUAGACGGGGGACCACCAAUUCCGCGCGGGAUCGAAAUGGCCAAAUGGGUUUGGUUUCCUUUUUACCCUCUGCGAGCCCCAUAUCCGUCCGCACGUACUGACCCUUGUUCACUUUUGGUACACACACCUACGAACCCUUUCCUUUCAACGCGUGGGACGCACUUUGGCCCAGAUAUUCAUUCAAGGUGACUCCUUGCGGUGCUCGCAAGCAUUGAGGCGUACAUAUCUUAUCUCUGGCGUCUGACAUGCAUCCAUCGUUUCUAAGAGAAUGGGUGUGACAAGUAUCCGGAUCAAAAAAUAAUGAAUAGAUAUAAAAAUAAUCUGAACAGCUAAAGAGUAUUGGAACACUAUUAACGCUGGGCACCUGAGAUGGUGAAAAGUGGAGUGGCUAUUCAAGAAUAAAUAGAAAAUAUAAUUGGUACUAGAGCAUGGACUCAAUCCUUCGAGCAUGUGUUAUAAUAGCAGAAAUUUCGUAUUCUAAGCAUCGCUGGGUUUCUUUCUGGGAUUAUGGGAAGCACGCUUAUCUUUUGCGGUGCUGGAUUCUUUAUCCUCAGCAGGUUCUUUGGAUUCUAUGGUAUUCUGAUAUGUUAUGGUGCUGGAAUUCUUACAGAUUGUUAAUCUGCUGAUGUUUCUCCUAGUCGGAAUCUCGGUAUAGCAUAUUCUGUUAUGUUUUGGUUUUCCGCCAGUCUUCUGCAGCGCUACUACUGAGAGAGGUGUGUGGCUAUAUGUAUCAUCAUGCAUCUGUGGUAAUUUUCGCAUCCUGUAAAACUGUUUUAUUUGCAAUAUAGCUUCCAGCUCCUCUUUCUACCCAAAGAAGAAGAAGAAGAAAGAAAAAGCAAAAAAAAGGAAAGCAGAAAAAAUAGUAUUUUCACCUCAAUGUAUUAUUAUUUGUAUUUUUUUUCAGAAAAUUUACUAGUUUUGAAAUUUUAGAACACUUUUGCUCCUAGCCCUGUCAGAUGCAGUCCAACCCACUUAUGCACACCCAAUACUAAAAAAAUGUGUAUCCAAUUGUGUAAUUGUGACGUCUUCUGAACAGACGAGACUUCAGAUUAACACGCGUACGUAGAAUUGCAAAGCUGGACUGUCAAGUGGGCGGCAAGGAGCAUCUCAUUUGAUCUCCACACACAACCAGUUGCUUGGACUGAAGCUGAUGAUGUGUUGGUCACAUAUAUGCAUUCCUUCAAAGCCCACUUGGAUGUUUUCCACCAAACCAAGAAAUCUAUUGCCCUUGAAGAACAGGCAAGGAAUUGCAUUGAUACCAUUGAGGUAGGGUGCACCAAAUAUUACACGUGCAUGCAUUUAGCUUUCAUGCCAGGUUAUGAACCUAUUUUGAUUGGCUAUGAUAGUAAAUGUUGCUUAGAAAGAGUAAUAUGCGGUUGGAAUCCCAAUACUCUCGGCUGCAUAUGAAAUAUCGAGUUUUUUUUUUUUGAUGAAGCGAGAGGUUUAACCAUUCGGUUUUCUAUUCAAAAGAAGUUCAAAGACAAGUUACAAGAAGUUGUGUAAUUGCUAUAGUGCUAUGAGAGGGAGCCUCCGCAGUGCUACGAGAGUGCCACUCAUUUUAAAUAUCGAGUUUCUUCACGAAGUAGAAUUCCAUUAUGUUGUGAGCAUACACUUUGCGGCAUCUUGAAUGGCCAAAUUAUUAAAUCUUCUUGUUCUCUCUCCACACAAACGACGGCAACAAAGAUGACAUGAAAAUCUUCCAAAAUAACGAAAAUAGAUCGUUAUGUCCUCAUACAUUGUUAUUGAUCAUUUCCUCGGUGAAUAAUAAAAGGACUUUCCACUUUGUACAUGAAAAUUUCUUCUGCCAUAUGGGGAGUGGUAGAACUUUGUUUAGUCGAUACUCAAGCAUUGGUUGCAUACCGAGCUGCUAAGCCAGCAACAAAAAAAAAAAACUUCAUUGCAACGGUGAUAUCACGUCAAACUUAUUAUUACCCAAUGAGAACGAUGGUUGUAUUCCAUGGAUUGCCAUAUAUUUCAUCAAUUUUCAUGAUGAUACUCCGUUAUUGGGUUGUUGCAAGUUUGACAUGGUAUCAUGGUUGCAACGAAAAUCUUUUCGGCAAUAGGUGUGUACAAAGAGUUUUUGAAGAGCGCCAGUAAGUACUAUUAAUCUCCACUGUAGGAAAAGGGAUGCAUAGCAUUUGCUCCCCAUGCAUGCUCCCUUAUUUUCCAACUAAAGAAAUUUACCUAAAAUCAGAUCCCAUCACGACGGGAAAAAAAAUCAAAGGAGGACUUGCCUUGUUUUUCUAUCGGAGUAACUCAGAUACUGGUUGAAAACCGAAUACCAUCCCAUCCCAUCCCUCAAAAAGAAAAAAAAAAAGAAAAAGAAAAAAGGAAAUCGAUCAUUGACUAUAAGAGGGACAUCCGAUAGCAUGUUCUCAUCGGACUUUAAUCCAAGUUAAAAACUUCAUACAAAAGAUCAUGCCAUUAUUAGAUAACCAAUUUUAGCAAAAUCACUCACAUUUUAUUGAGUUGUGCUAACAAAAAAAAAACACUAAAAAUAAUAAGAAGAUACUGCUAUCAUUUAAUCAAACUAUUGUUCAUCAAAUAUUUUUUUAGUUAGCAUGUAGAUUUGAUUUAAAAAUAUCAUUUAUUCAGAAAUGUCAAAUAAUGAUUAUUUAUCUUUAUUUUCAACAGAUUUUGUAGACACAAAUGUUCAAUUAUCAAAAUUUUAGCUAACAAUAUAUAUUUAUUGCAUAUAAUAACUUGGGAAUUUCUUUUAGACAGAGUUUCUAUUUGUGAGAAAUUUUAAAACAAGUAAUAGUUUUUUGUUGGAGAUAUUUUUACAAAAGCUUUUAUUCGGAGUUUUUGUGGGUUUCAAAAUAUAGAGAUUUUUGCUCUUCAGCUAAUAGUUUCUUCUAUGCAUGUGUUAAUAGUGGUUUGACUUUCAUUAAAAAAAAAAGAGGACAAUUCACAAGGGACUACUGUAGUUAAAUAUAAAAGUUAUAUUUUAUAUUUAACUAUUAUAUUUAACUAUAGUAGUUCAAUAUAAAAUGCAACUUUUAUAUUUAACUAUAGUAGUCCCGCAUGAAUUGUCCUUUUUUUUUUAAUAUAAAAGUUACUUUUCUAUUGGAGAAAAUUUUUUUUUCUUCCCAAUAGUCUCCGAUGGAUCCUUUUAUUCGGCAGCCAACAGUCAGACCCCUCUCUCUCUCCCUUCUUUCUUCUCUUUCUCUCUCUCCCUCCCUUCUCUCUCUCUCUAUUUCUUCCCCUCCUCUCCUUCUCUCUCUUCUUUGGAUGUUCUAGUCGAAUGGCAAGGCCAUCUCGGGCCGAAAGCUGGCUUCUCCUCUCUCUCUCUCGCCCUUGCUUCCUCUUUCUCUCUCUUUGUUGUUGGAACCUCCCUCUCCUCUCUCCCCAUGGAUGAGCCCCUCACCCUCUUGAGGCCUUCGAAGGAGGCCGGAUGUUCUCAUGGGUUGACGCCAGCUGGUUGCUGGGCCCCUCCCCCCUCUCUCUCUCUCAUUCUCUCCCUCCUUGUCCCGCCUUUUCUAUCUCCCUAGCUCUUCCUCUUUUCCCAUCUUUUUUCAAUGUUGGUUGGCCGUUCUUCUCCUUCGACAGUCGAUCUAGCUGGCUGGUUGAGUUAUCACCCCCGCCCCCCGAUCGAGCUUCACUCACUAUAAGAAAAUAAGGAUUUAGCAACUAAAAAAUUGGUUGCUAAAUAGCAAAAAUCGAUUGUAAAUUUAAAGUUGGUUGUAAAAAUUGUGAUCGUAAAUAUUUUGCGACUGAUUUUGUCGGUUGCAACAUUAAUUUGCGACUGAUUUAGUGAUCGAAAUAUAAAAAAAUUAAUAAAAUUUUAUGAUCAAUUUAGCGAUCGAUAAAAAAUAUUUAAAAUUUUGCGAUAUAUUUUGUAAUUUUAUUAAAAUAUUUUUUAUAAACAAAAUUGAUCAUAAAAUCGGUCGCUAAUUAUUUUUAAAUUUUUUAAAUUAAAAUAUCGAUUGUAAAAUCAAUUGCUAUUUUUAUUAAAAUAUUUUUUAUUAACAAAAUUAUUUGUAAAAUUGAUUUCUAAUUACUUUUAAAUUUUUAAAUUAAAAUAUCAAACAUAAAAUUGAUCUCUAAUUUUAUUAAAAUAUUAUUUAUUAACAAAUCAAUCAUAAAAUCGAAUGUUAAUUAUUUUUAAAUUUUUUAAAUUAAAACAUCGAUCGUAAAAUCGAUCGUUAAUUUCAUUAAAAUAUUUUUUAUUAAAAAAUUAAUCAUAAAAUCGAUCGCUAAUUACUUAUAAAUUUUUUAAUCAAAAUGUCGAUCACUAAUUUUAUUAAAAUAUUUUUAUUAAUAAAAUUGAUCAUAAAAUUGAUCAUUAAUUACUUAUAGAUUUUUUUUAAUCAAAAUAUCGAUUACAAAGUCAGUCGCUAAUUUUAUUAAAAUAUUUUUUAUUAAUAAAAUUGAUUACUAAUUAUUUUUAAAUUUUUUAAAUCAAAAUAUAGAUCGUAAAAUCGAUUGCUAAUUUUAUUAAAAUAUUUUUUAUUAACAAAAUUGAUCGUAAAAUUGAUCGUUAAAUAAUUUAAAUUUUUUUAUAAAAAUAUCGAUCACAAAAUCGAUCUCUAAUUUUAAGUCAAUAAAAAAAAUAAAUUCAAAGUCAUUAUUUUUUUUCUUAUUACAAUAUCUAUAAAUUUAUUUUUUUGAUAAAAAUUAUAAUUUUAUUCGUUGAACCAAAAAUAAAGUAGAAUAUGAACAGCAGUCUCAAUUAAGAAGUACAAGAACAUAACUUAUGAGAAAAAAAUAGAUAAGCAGAAUUAUAUAACAGUAAGCAAAGUAAGACAAGAUCAUAGAGAAGAAAGAUGGCGUCAGAGUGAAAUAUAUAGAGCCCAGAGUCAGUCAAAAUAUGAUAUCCAUAAAAAGAAAGAAUAUAUGAGUAAGGAGACUGUCAUUGGUAUUGUAAGAAAAGCUUCUGUACAGCGGCAAAGGAUCAAGAAGAUCCAUAAAUAUAGCAAAAAAUUUCGUGACAAAAUCAAGCCAAACAAUCUGUAGCAGCUGAAUCUGUUGUUGGGAUAGAUGUAUAUCAUGAUAAGGCAAUACAGUAAGCCCGGGUAGAUAAGGAAGGCAGAAAUUGUAGCCAUAGUAAAAUUUAUUCCUCAAUACAAUCACACUUUGUAUAGACUGGUAGUAGUAAAAUUCAUAAAGAAAUUGCAUAUGGAAACACCUGUGAAUGGUCUCAAAAGUAACAUAUCUAGGGCCUUAUGUCUCAGCUUCAAAAUUAAAAUUCAUCAUCAACCAUAGAUAAACAAGAAAACAAAUAAUCCACAGCCAUAGAUGCACGAGUGUGCACACUAUAUAUAUGCCAUAUCCCCAAGAAAAAAUAGAUAGCUAUAUGUAAACAAGAGGUUUCAGUAGAAGGGACAAGCAGCCAACUGUCUUGUAAAAAUAGCAAGCCAUCCAAAACAUACCAGGGCCCAAGAGGUAGUGAGAUUGAAAAAAGAGGAUGCGUGCCACAAGGAGUGUCAGAGAAUCAUCAAUGCUAGCUAACAUACUUUUUCUACUCUGCUGAGCACAUCUGCAAAUUUAUUGAAAGAUAACAGAACCAAACAACGUCGUCAUCCAUCCAACAUACAAAUCCAAGCAACAUAACCUAAAUAAUAGAGUCCAAUAUGCUAAAGUACGGAUCAUCAUCGUAAAAAAUAAGAAGGCAACCAUAAGAAUAUAGCAAUUAAAAUCCAUCUAGUUUGGAUCAUCAUCAGAAAAAAUAAGAAAGCAACUAUAAGAAUAUAGUAAUCAAAAUCCAUUGAUACCCAUCAGCUUUUAGACAUCAUAUGGGAACAAGAAAAAGAGCCCAUAAAUAUCUAUGGAACCAUUUUCUUCAAUAUUCGUUAAUUAAGUUUGGAUCAUCAUUAAAAAAAAUAAAAAGGCAACCAUUAGAAUAUAACAAGUAAAAUCCAUCGACAUCCAUCAGCUUUAAGACAUCAUAUGGAAAUAAAAAAAAAUACCAUAGUAUACCUCAAACCAAAUAUAUCACAAGUAUUAUCUGCAGUAACGUACGGGAGUGAUAUGAACAUAAUAUAUAGAGUCAGUGAGGCAAUAAGAAAGUACUAUUUUUACUUUUGAUUAUAAAAAACUCUACUAUUGUAAGCUAAAAGUAAAAUUCAACAACACCCAUCAGCUUUAACACAUCAUAUGAAAAUAAAAAAAAAAAGACCGUAGCAAUCUAUGAAGCCACUUCUUUCAAAAUCAGUGGAGCCAGUCUCAUCAAUAUCUAUUUAUUUAGAUUAUCAUCAGAAAAAAUAAGAAGACAACCAUAAAAAUAUAGCAAUCAAAAUCCAUCAGCACCCAUCAGAUUUUAGAUAUCAUAUGGGAACAAAAAAAAAGCCGAUAGCAAUUUGUGAAGCCAUUUUCUUCAAUAUUCAUUAAUUAAAUUUAGAUUAUUAUCAAAAAAAUAAAAAGAUAAUUAUAAGAAUAUAGCAAAUAAAAUCCAUCGACACCCAUCAACUUUAAGACAUCAUAUGGGAACAAAAAAAAGAACCCAUAGCAUACCUCAUGCCAAAUUUCUCAUAUAUAUUACCUGCAGCAAUAGGGGUGAUAUGAACAUAAUAUAUAGAGCCAGUAAAGUAAUAAGAGAGUGCUAUUUUUGCUUUCGAUUAUAAAGAACUCCAUUGCUCUAAGUUAAAGCAAAAUCUAACGGCACCCAUCAGCUUUAACAUAUUAUAUGAGAAUAAAAAAAAGAAGCCAUUGCAAUCUAUAGAGCCACUUCUAUCAAAAUCAGUAGAGUCAGUUCCUUCAAUAUCUAUUUAGUUUAGAUUAUCGUCAGAAAAAAUAAGAAGACAACUGUAAAAAAAUAGCAAUCAAAAAAAUUCAUUGACACCCAUCAGAUUUUAGACAUACAUCAUAUGGAAACAAAAAAAAAGUUCAUAGCAAUCUGUGAAGCCAUUCCUUUCAAUAUCCAUUAAUUAAGUUUAGAUCAUCAUCAGAAAAAAUAAGAAGGCAACCAUAAGAAUAUAGCAAGCAAAAUUCAUCAACACCCAUCAGCUUUAAGACAUCAUAUGGAUGAAGAAAAAGAGGCUAUCACGUAACAAAUCAUCCACCCAUAAUAUUAUUGAGUACAAGUCUCUAAAGAAUUUACUUAACUCAGUUAUGGACUUCCACAUUUAAUCUGGUAAUGCACUAAAGGCAAUUGGUAGCAAAUACUCUAUAAACACAUGACAAUCAUAACUUUUCAGUCUGAAUAAAUUUAUUUCUUUUAAAUUUACACAUCUGCAUAAAUUGGAGGCAUAUCCAUCAGGUAUUUUUAACUCCUUGACCUAUUUAUAUAUAGCUUUUUUCUGUUCCAUGGUUAAAAUGAAUUUUGCUUUCAGUUUCAUCACUUUUCUAUUAGCUAAUUCUUGCAAUUCUAGAUCUCUUUGCUUAUAAUACUUCUUCAAAUCCAUUCUUACUUUUACAUUAUCUUUGAUUUUAUCUUUAGUAUCCAUGAUUGUGUUAAACACAUUAUCAAACAUAUUUUUUUCUAUAUGCAUCACAUCUAGAUUGUGUCUGAUCAAAUUAGUUUGUCAAUAUGGUAAGUCCCAAAAUAUACUUUGCUUUAUCCAAUUAUAUGUAACCCUAUAUCCAUCAUAUCUACAGAAACCCUCCUCAGUUAUCUUUGGAAGAGAAGAAAUAAUUUUUCACAGUUCAUCCCCAGUCAACCUAUGGAGAGGGCAAUUUUUUUCAACCUGAUUUUUAUAGAAUGCAUCUCUAUUUCUUCUGAAUACAUGAUCCAUAGGCAAAAAUUGACAAUGACAAUGAAAUCAAAAAUUUUUACCAUCAUGUUUCAAAGUGAAUACCUUUGAUCGCUCCAUACAAUAUGGACAUGCCAAUUUUCUGCUAUACUUCACCCUAACAACAUACCGUGUGCAGGCAAGUUAUUGAUCGUCCACAUUAAUGCUGCCCUCAUCAUAAAAUUUUACUUUCUUGAAAUAUCAUAUGUUAGGAUGCCUUCUUUUUACAAUAAUUUCAACUCAUCUAUCAAAGAUCGUAAAUGCACAUCUAUCCGACUCUUUAGAUUUUGUGGACCGCGGAUAAUCAAAGUCAAGAACAUAUAUGGAGUAGUCAUGCAUAGUUCUAGAGAAAGAUUGUAAAGAGUAAUAAUUACUGACUAACAAGAAUAUGGUGCAGCUGAUUGACUAUAUGGGAUAAAAUCAUCAGCAUAUAAGCCUAGCUUGAUAUUUCGUGGUUCAGUUGCAAAAUCAGAAUAUGUUUGAUCAAAGUAUUUUCAAGCUUCUCCAUCUAAUGAGUGACAUAAUAUCCCUGACUCCCGUCUAUUCUCAUAAUGCCAUCUCAUGUAUGGAGCAGAAUUCAUAGAAACAUACAAUCUCUUUAACCUAGGAAUGAGGGGUAAAUAAUGCAUCUUUUUCAUGGAGAUCUCUUUAUAUUGUCUGUUAACAAUCUUCUUUAUUUUAUAACAAGCUGUACUAUAAAAUUUACAUACCUUAUCUUCUUUAUUUUCAACAUAAUAUAACAUACAACCAUUAAUGUAACAGUCUAUUUUUUGAGCAGCAAGGCCAAGUUUGGAUACUAAUUUCUUUAUUUUAUAAAAAUCUUGAGGGAUUACAUUAUCAGGAUGAUUUAUCUCUUUCAUAAGUCUCACUAUUUGAUCAAAAGAUCUUUGAAAAAUAUUUUUCUUCGAUUUAAUACUUAAUAAUCUAACAGCAACAGACAACUCAGAGUGAUCAUUAUAUCCCGACCAUAACAGUUGCUGAACUGCAUAUAACAUAUCACAAAAUUUUUGAGCAUCCAUAUUUGGAGGCCUCUUCACAUUUUGUUCAUGAUGAAACCCAAACUCUUGGCCAAUAGCAUCAAAAAUCAUAUCUCGAUAUCUAUUCAAUUGUUCAUCAUUACCCAAUUGUGAACUAUUAGAAGCACCUGAAUGCAUAUAAAACAACCUACCCACACGAGGAUCACUUUCUUCAUGUGAUGUCCCAUACCAAUAAUUAAGUAUAAAUCUUUUUUUUAUAAAGAUCAACCUUCACUCCAUCAGGACUUAAGUACUUUUGGUUUUUGCAUUUGGAACAAGGACAUCUAAUUUUUUCAUGGCUCUUAAACUGUGGUUGUUGGCAUGCAAAAGAAAUAAAUUCUUCCACCCCUCUUAAAAGUAUAUUAGUAUAUCCCUUUCGACCAGAUAAAAGCCUAUUAUACAUCCAACUAUGAUGAUGACGAAUAUCCAUAUUCUACAAUAUAAUAAAAUUUAAUCAUACGAUUAUAAUAUUCACAAAAUGCAUAAUAUUCAAAAUUAAGCUUCUUGCCAAACUCUAUUGGUACCAGACCCCCAAAUGCAUGAAAAAAAAAUAAAUGACAACCACAUUAAUAUUUAGAAAGCAUAAAAUUAGUUUUUAGCCCUAGAAUUUAGAUUAUAAUCCAAAAAUUUUUAAUCAAUUAGGGAAAAUAGAAAACAACAGCAAGAGAAUAAGAGAGAUAAGAACAUACCUCAAAGGUCGGUGGUCACUUUUUGAUGAUAGAUAGGAGGGGAUUGAGAAGAAUAAGGCCGGUGGUCAUUUUUCGAUGGUCACAUAUGUGAAACAAGGAUAAAUUAGAACCAAUUAUAUAACUAAAUGUCUAAGCCACUAACUUUAACAGAUCCGAGAAAUGCAACAUUGAGGAAAUUUGAAGCAUUCAGGCAAUUUGUCAUGUGGGAAAUCAGUAUGUAAGAUACAUUAUUUGGUACCAAUACUUGGUAUAGAGGGUGUACUCAAAAUCAAUUUUCUACUAGCAUUGUGUAAAGUACAUCCCAUAUUGGCCAUCAUGGUCUGGUAUGUAGAACCUUGAUUUUGAUUGUAUUUUCUAUAAUGAUGGAGGUAAUAAAUAGCUUGAGAGGAAAAUCAUAAAGCAUCAUGCAUACCUUCAAACAUUCAUUUUAAAUACAGGUAUUGAUAAAGGGGAUCGAUAGUUAAAUACCAAUAAAAAGGGUUAUCCCCAGAUACUCCACUCUUUCAAUGACAUAUUUAUUAUUUAUACUUGCAAGUUGUCAGAUAUGCUUACAUAUCCAUAAAAUUUUCAAUGGUUUCAGCAUUAUUAAAAAAAAAAAGCCUAAAAAGAUGAGGCAAUCAAAGAGAGUGGAAGAUAAGUCUUUAUCAUUUCAUUGCCUAAAAAGAUUGAGCAACUAAAGAAUAUUAUGGCGUAGAUACCUUUGUGCCCUCACAUUUGAGUUGCCCCUUACCUUUCUCUCCUUUAACAUAAAGCUAAAGCAAGUGUGGUGAUGCAAUUUGUCUGAUGGAAUCAAGGUUUUCAACUCUAGGAAACAAGUGUGGGAAAUGAUGCAUAGAUUGCAUGUUUUGGCUCUCUCUCUCUCUCUCUCUCUGUGGCACUUGAUGCAAGUGAAUAGAAUAGCCAUAGGUAUAAUAUUCAGCAGAUUAAUAAAAUAAUAUAAAAAAUUAAAUGAAAACCUAUGAAAAAUCAAAUGAACAGCCAUAGGUAUAAUGUUCGAUAGAAAGAUUACCCAGUGAGCUCGCUGGUGUCGCUGGAGAGGGGAGGGAAGG